This 408-nucleotide long non-coding RNA is filed under the name Rattus norvegicus (Norway rat). RNAcentral's name for it is "long non-coding RNA NONRATT028401". Lineage: Eukaryota; Metazoa; Chordata; Mammalia; Rodentia; Muridae. The record is from RNAcentral.
CAACCCCCAAAGCACGUAGAGAAGAGCCUAAGUCCAUCUAACUGUAACUAUGUCCUGCAGACUGGGAUACAAAGGUGUCUGACUUUAAGAAGAAGAUUGAGUCUAUCCUGCCGGGAAAGCAAUGUGAAAUGGUGUAUGACACCAGCCACCUGCCCCCAGAACAGUCGGAUGUGGUCAUCAUCGGCGGUGGGAUUCUUGGUCUGUCUGUGGCCUUUUGGCUGAAGAAGCUGGAGAGUAGACGAGGUGCCAUGCAGGUGCUGGUUGUGGAACAGGACCACACGGUGAGGUCAGGGAGUAAGAUAGUUAUCUUACUGAGGGCACAGCCUGUUAGAAGUCCGAAGGGCAGGGACUGUGCUUUCCUUCGACUUUGGAGCUUAAGAAAUAGUUCCAGGUUCUUCCUCCCUCAAA